Molecule: transfer RNA, 75 nt
Filed under: Rhodogorgon sp.
Lineage: Eukaryota; Rhodophyta; Florideophyceae; Rhodogorgonales; Rhodogorgonaceae
Description: tRNA-Gly
Rfam family: tRNA
About the family: Transfer RNA (tRNA) molecules are approximately 80 nucleotides in length.
Source: RNAcentral
AGCGAGUAUAGAUAAAAUGGUAAAUCAUUAAUUUUCCAAAUUAAUAUAUAUGGGUUCGAGUCCCAUUACUCGCUU